UUGUGGAAGCCCCGGGAACUGUUGUUUUAAGAGAAGUAAAAUGGUUUCCGCUCUGUCCUCAAAAAGCUCUCUUUUCUCCGAACUUAUAAUCGAUGAACUCCAAGCGGAUUUUGUAUCCUUUUGAUUCAUUUUUCUUUUCCAAAUAACUAUAGAAGCUUCUAUCUUGUUCUUAAGAUCAAGAACAGUUAGCUCUGUUGAGAGAUCCAUUGUUGAUAGAAACUGCCCCGGGUCAAAGGAGUCAACUGUGAUAUUCUUGUAGAUUGUUUCUCCAAGGCUUUCUCUUCCAUUCUGUUAAAGAUCCCUCAGUUUACUUCAUGUUGGGAGAUCGUCGAUAUAAUCCUCAGGGAUCUCCAUUUCCGCAAGUAUUUCUGCAUUUAUAGCCAUGGAAGCUUUCAAAACUUGAUUAACACAAUCCUUUUGAUACUGCAUCCAUUUUCUU
RNAcentral lists this long non-coding RNA (439 nucleotides) under Helianthus annuus (common sunflower). Its description in RNAcentral is "hypothetical non coding rna". The record is from RNAcentral. Lineage: Eukaryota; Viridiplantae; Streptophyta; Magnoliopsida; Asterales; Asteraceae.